Molecule: ribosomal RNA, 181 nt
Filed under: uncultured bacterium
Lineage: Bacteria
Description: partial 16S ribosomal RNA
Rfam family: Bacterial small subunit ribosomal RNA
Source: RNAcentral
UCAUUAGAUACCCGGGUAGUCCGCGGAUCAGCAUGCCGCGGUGAAUACGUUCCCGGGCCUUGUACACACCGCCCGUCACACCAUGAGAGUCGGGAACACCCGAAGCCCGUAGCCUAACUUUAACGAGAGGGCGCGGUCGAAGGUGGGUUCGAUAAUUGGGGUGAAGUCGUAACAAGGUAGC